GGAAAUCGCCGGGCGGGCACGCAGGUGGCCGCCGGGUCGGCCGGCCCGCACUCCCUGGGUGGUUGCGAGUCCCUCGGCCUCUGGCCCCCGGCCCAGGCAGCCCCGGCGGGCGGCGGGGCAGGGCGGUAAUUGCCCCGAGACGCGGCGCUUAUCCGGGCGCGUUGUGCAAGGCCGCGCGAGCAGAACCUGGGGCAGCGGCUCUCACGCUCGGCUCCGGGCCCGCGGGCCGUCCGCCUCCGUCCUCGCGGGGACCUUCCGCCGCCUGGUGAGCGGGACCCACGCCGCGGGCGCCCGCCGAUGCCACGCGGAAAUGGUGUGCGCAGUGGUCCCCUCCACUGCCCCUCAACACUGGAUUCAGACCGCGGACUAGAUUCCAGUUGCUUCUGCCACUGAUGAGUUCUAGAUGGCCUUGGGAAAUUUACUUGCCUCCUCCAGUCUUGGGCUUCCUCUCUUCCAGUUAAAUGAUGACAACUGAGAAACCACAGUGAGUCUCAACCUCCUUCAUCAAUCCUGAAUGGCUGAAUUGCCUGGAUGAGUAGAAUGACUCUCAAGAUUCAAUGAAAAGUGGCUGUGGUGGCUCAUGCCUAUAAUCCUGAC
RNAcentral lists this long non-coding RNA (597 nucleotides) under Cricetulus griseus (Chinese hamster). RNAcentral's name for it is "lncRNA (ENSCGRG00015034376.1)". Lineage: Eukaryota; Metazoa; Chordata; Mammalia; Rodentia; Cricetidae. The record is from RNAcentral.